UUUGCCACUACUACUUCUAAUAGGUAAUAAACCCAUCUAGGUUAAUUUCCUUUUUUGUGUUUGGUUUAGAUAUCUUGAAUAGAUUGUUGUUUGAGUGACAUGUAUGUUAAUGUAGCCCCUAAAAUGCUCUCAGCUUUUGGGAAAAAUGUUGGCUAAAUUUGUAAUAUUCCUCUGGAAAUGAAUGGAAAGCUAACCCAUUUUACAAAUACCUGUACUUUUCUCUCUAGUCUUCCUUCUGCUUUUAAGCAUGGUAAGUUGAAAAAUCAGUUAGCAGCAAUACAUUAGAGUGAGGUUGUAGUUGUUAAGCAAAUUGUUAAUACUGCAAAGGCAAUUAAUUGGAACGUUGUAAUAAUUCCAUUUGUGCUUAAUGUUUUAGUUAUAAUUGCCUCUAAACCAGUAGGCCAGUGGUUAAGUGUCUAUCUUGUACUGCAAAAAGGCUAUGGAUACAUUUUGAUGUUCUCUUUCCCCUCCCCUUGAAUCAGAAACGUUUCAGUUAUCAUACGAUCCUUUGUCAUCCAUUUGUGUUUUUGGCAAUGGCGGUGACUUCAUUCAUUAUGCAUAUGAUGUUAAGUAGUAUAUUUCACAUCAAUACACAUGAAUCUUGGAUGACUUGAGUGGCAUUCUGUUUCUAGCUAUCAUAGUGAAGGAAACAUUGCUCUUGCUUUUGGCCUAACUCUUGUAUGUUUUAAUCCACUAGAGUUCCUUGCAAGCUGCUGCAAUUGCAACAUGCUUAUCCUUAGUGCUGGAUAAAGCAUCAUGUGUCUUUUGAUAUAUAAAAUUUUGGUAGAAAGGCCACAAAAAU
Molecule: unclassified non-coding RNA, 802 nt
Filed under: Hevea brasiliensis (rubber tree)
Lineage: Eukaryota; Viridiplantae; Streptophyta; Magnoliopsida; Malpighiales; Euphorbiaceae
Source: RNAcentral